UGAGUAACACGUGGGCAAUCUGCCCUGCACUUCGGGAUAAGCCUGGGAAACUGGGUCUAAUACCGGAUAGGACCUUUAGACGCAUGUCUUUUGGUGGAAAGCUUUUGCGGUGUGGGAUGGGCCCGCGGCCUAUCAGCUUGUUGGUGGGGUGAUGGCCUACCAAGGCGACGACGGGUAGCCGGCCUGAGAGGGUGUCCGGCCACACUGGGACUGAGAUACGGCCCAGACUCCUACGGGAGGCAGCAGUGGGGAAUAUUGCACAAUGGGCGCAAGCCUGAUGCAGCGACGCCGCGUGGGGGAUGACGGCCUUCGGGUUGUAAACCUCUUUCACCAUCGACGAAGGUCCGGGUUUUCUCGGAUUGACGGUAGGUGGAGAAGAAGCACCGGCCAACUACGUGCCAGCAGCCGCGGUAAUACGUAGGGUGCGAGCGUUGUCCGGAAUUACUGGGCGUAAAGAGCUCGUAGGUGGUUUGUCGCGUUGUUCGUGAAAUCUCACGGCUUAACUGUGAGCGUGCGGGCGAUACGGGCAGACUAGAGUACUGCAGGGGAGACUGGAAUUCCUGGUGUAGCGGUGGAAUGCGCAGAUAUCAGGAGGAACACCGGUGGCGAAGGCGGGUCUCUGGGCAGUAACUGACGCUGAGGAGCGAAAGCGUGGGGGAGCGAACAGGAUUAGAUACCCCUGGUAGUCCACGCCGUAAACCGGUGGGUACUAGGUGUGGGGUUUCCUUCCUUGGGAUCCGUGCCCGUAGCUAACGCAUUAAGUACCCCCGCCUGGGGGAGUACGGCCGCAAGGCUAAAAACUCAAAGGAAUUUGACGGGGGGGCCCCGCACAA
RNAcentral lists this ribosomal RNA (833 nucleotides) under Mycobacterium sp. RNAcentral's name for it is "bacterial SSU rRNA". It matches the Rfam family "Bacterial small subunit ribosomal RNA", at positions 107 to 928 of the family's 1533-position model. Lineage: Bacteria; Bacillati; Actinomycetota; Actinomycetes; Mycobacteriales; Mycobacteriaceae. The record is from RNAcentral.